UUCACAUUCGGUCAACGUUC
RNAcentral lists this microRNA (20 nucleotides) under Populus trichocarpa (black cottonwood). RNAcentral's name for it is "ptc-miR1444c". The record is from miRBase by way of RNAcentral. RNAcentral also lists the same sequence under 1 other name. Lineage: Eukaryota; Viridiplantae; Streptophyta; Magnoliopsida; Malpighiales; Salicaceae.